Molecule: ribosomal RNA, 750 nt
Filed under: uncultured bacterium
Lineage: Bacteria
Description: bacterial SSU rRNA
Rfam family: Bacterial small subunit ribosomal RNA
Source: RNAcentral
UGAGUUUGAUCCUGGCUCAAGACGAACGCUGGCGGCGUGCCUAAUACAUGCAAGUCGAGCGAGCUUGCCUAGAUGAUUUUAGUGCUUGCACUAAAUGAAACUAGAUACAAGCGAGCGGCGGACGGGUGAGUAACACGUGGGUAACCUGCCCAAGAGACUGGGAUAACACCUGGAAACAGAUGCUAAUACCGGAUAACAACACUAGACGCAUGUCUAGAGUUUGAAAGAUGGUUCUGCUAUCACUCUUGGAUGGACCUGCGGUGCAUUAGCUAGUUGGUAAGGUAACGGCUUACCAAGGCAAUGAUGCAUAGCCGAGUUGAGAGACUGAUCGGCCACAUUGGGACUGAGACACGGCCCAAACUCCUACGGGAGGCAGCAGUAGGGAAUCUUCCACAAUGGACGAAAGUCUGAUGGAGCAACGCCGCGUGAGUGAAGAAAGGUUUCGGCUCGUAAAGCUCUGUUGGUAGUGAAGAAAGAUAGAGGUAGUAACUGGCCUUUAUUUGACGGUAAUUACUUAGAAAGUCACGGCUAACUACGUGCCAGCAGCCGCGGUAAUACGUAGGUGGCAAGCGUUGUCCGGAUUUAUUGGGCGUAAAGCGAGUGCAAGCGGUUCAAUAAGUCUGAUGUGAAAGCCUUCGGCUNCACCGGAGAAUUGCAUCAGAAACUGUUGAACUUGAGUGCAGAAGAAGAGAGUGGAACUCCAUGUGUAGCGGUGGAAUGCGUANAUAUAUGGAAGAACACCAGUGGCGA